Molecule: long non-coding RNA, 1371 nt
Organism: Esox lucius (northern pike)
Lineage: Eukaryota; Metazoa; Chordata; Actinopteri; Esociformes; Esocidae
Source: Ensembl
UCUGCCCGGAGUGCCCACAGCCCUACAAACCGCUGAGGCCCUGUUUACCCAUGUCUUCCGGCAUUAUGGCAUCCCGGAGGACAUAGUGUCUGACCGUGGACCCCAGUUCACUUCACGAGUUUGGAGGGCCUUUAUGGAGAAGCUGGGGGUCACGGUAAGCCUUACCUCCGGGUUCCAUCCUGAGGCCAACGGACAGGUGGAGCGGGUGAACCAAGAGGUAGGCAGGUUCUUACGUUCCUAUUGCCAGGACCGGCCGGGGGAAUGGUCGGACUGUUUGCCAUGGGCAGAAUAUGCUCAAAAUUCUCUCUGCCAUUCCUCCACCCAACUGACUCCUUUCCAAUGUGUUCUAGGGUACCAGCCGGUCCUGGCCCCUUGGCAUCCGAGCCAGACCCAGGCCCCCGCGGUGGACGACUGGUUCCGUCGAGCCGAGGCAAUGUGGACCGUCGCACAUGUGCGUCUACAGCGUGCUGUGCGUCGCCACAAACACCAGGCUGACCGCCGGCUGGGGCCCACUCCCGUUUUCCAGCCGGGUGAUCGGGUCUGGCUCUCCACUCGUAACCUGCCCCUCCACCUGCCCUGCCGGAAACUGGCAUCGCGGCCGGUGGUAGAAGGCCCUCUCCAGGAGGCCGGGGUGCAGGAGACCCCCCCCCUUCCUCUGGAGAUCGAGGGCGAGCCUGCCUACACAGUCCGUGCCAUCCUUGAUUCGAGGAGGCGGCGGGGUGGCCUCCAGUACCUCGUGGACUGGGAGGGGUACGGCCCCGAGGAGCAGUGCUGGGUUCCGGCCAGGGAGAAAAUCUCCUGCGUGAUUUCCAUCUGCGCCGGCUGGAUCGCCCAGCGCCGCGUCCUCUGGGAUGUCCCCUGGGCAGUGGGAGCCGCGCCGGAGGACCUGCACGUCAGAGGGGGGGUACUGUGAUGGUUUCUAGGUCUGGGGCGCCCUCUACUGACGUACGGGGGAUCCGCCGGUCUGUUCUCCACAGCUCCCUGCCAGCGCUAAUCACUGAUGAAAAUCACCUGUGUUUUCACAGAUGUAAUGGCUGGCAGCAGUCCAGGACGCUGUGGGUUAUUGAUCGCUGUGUAUGACCUAUCGACAGCAGACGGAAACUCUACGUCCUCUCUGUCGUUGGUUUUGUGGACUCAUUUAUGCUGUGCAUUGAUAUUUAAGUUGAUCGCAAACGGACCUGAGAAUAAGACACCAAUAGCAAGGUUAGGGUGAUCUGGGCAUUUCCUUUUGUUCUGGUUUCCACGGCAUUGUCAGUGUUUGCAAUUCGUUUAGUUGAGAAAUAAAGGAACUAAAUGCACCCUUCUGCAUUCGACUCCUUCAACCUCUACCAUCACAAUUACACACAUGCCAUCAUUUAAAGUGACUCUGAU